This 500-nucleotide ribosomal RNA is filed under the name uncultured bacterium. Its description in RNAcentral is "partial 16S ribosomal RNA". It matches the Rfam family "Bacterial small subunit ribosomal RNA", at positions 28 to 505 of the family's 1533-position model. The record is from RNAcentral.
GAUGAAUGCUGGCGGCGUGCCUAACACAUGCAAGUCGAGCGGCAGCGAGUUUUACACUGAAUUCUGGAAGCUUCUGAGUAGUACAGAAGAUUUAUUCAAGAGUUUUGUGUAAAGUGUCGGCGAGCGGCGGACGGCUGAGUAACGCGUAGGAAUUUGCCCCAAAGUGAGGAAUAACUGCCCGACAGGGUAGCUAAUGCCGCAUAUGGUCUUCGGAUUAAAGCCUGCGGGCGCUUUGGGAGAAGCCUGCGUUGGAUUAGGUAGUUGGUCGGGUAAUGGCCUACCAGGCCGACGAUCCAUAGCUGGACUGAGUGGACGAUCAGCCAGGCUGGAACUGACACACGGUCCAGCCUCCUACGGAAGGCGGCAGUGAGGAACCUUCCACGCUGGGCGAAAGCCUGAGGGAUCAACGCCGCGUGAAGGAUGACGGCCUUCGGGUUGCAACCUUCUUUUAUGAGGGAAGAAUGUCACGGUCUCUCAUGAAUGCGCCCCCGCUCUCUACG